UUUUAUAGGGGUCCAGGUGGUGGUAGACCUUGGCCAAACCCAACAAAUGCCAAUUCAGUGAGUAUAUAUAUAUAUAUGCAUUCAUACAUUCAUACAUACAUACAUACAUACAUAUACACCUUCUAAAUUUUUUACACUUGUGCUUUGUAACAUUUAACAAAAACAAAAAUAUGCUGUUUAUGAAAGCUUUGCAAUCCAUCCUAUGAAUAAUCAUUCAAAAAGGUUUUGUGUAUGUUUUUUAGAAAAAUACCCAAUUUUAAAAUUAUGUAAUUUUUUCAUUUCAAGAGCUAAUUAAAAAUGGUGUGAUUUAAAUAUACUUCAAUAUCUUAUAUAGUAGUUUAUAUUAGUCAUAAAAUGGUUUGAUCCUCUGUAAUAGCUAUAAUAAUCAACUAAGUUGUCAGAUAUGAUCAAUCUCAAUUAGAGGAAACCAAAUUAUUAUGAUUGUACUUGUAUUAAUUACACAUAGGUUUUCUGUCUUGCUGCCUCAGAAAACAAGUACACAUUUUCCUUGUGCUUGUUAGCUAAAUUGCCAUUCUCUCACAUUUAUGUACCUAACAUUCUAGGAAUUUUCCUUUUAUUAUUGCGGCAGUGAUUGACUAUGGAUGUUUUUCUUUCUUAGUAAUGUGCAUAAAUAUAUGAAUAGGUUGAAAACUAAGCUAUCAAACACAAAAUUAAUAUGAUUUUAAUUUCAUGAUCCUGGUGAUGUUUUUUCUCCUUGUCUUUAAAAUCUUGAGUUCUUCAAUAUGUAAGAAAGGCUGCUGUGUGAAUUUGUACAGUGUGUGCACAGUACACAGGCUCUUAAGUCAAAAGAGUCAGUGGGGACUUGGCCUCUAUUCCACUUGACAAGUCUAUGAACCCAGCUACCCAGAAGGGAUGGCUUCAUUCUCUAGCAGUGGCCUUAAUGCUAAAUAAACAUGAAACUUAUCUAAUGUAUAAUGUUUAUUAAAACUUGAAGUUAAAAAUGAAGUGUGUUUAAUAACAGAAAAAUCAUUGUAAGUCUGUUGCUAUUCUAAAGCAAAAGUCACUUCCUUCUCAGGUAAAUAACUAUCAUAUAAAGAGAAAAGUUAUUAAUUUAUAUUACCCAGUUUUCUUAGUUUUAAUAUCUAUGGUGUUUACUAAUUAAAUGAAGUUAUUUGAGGUAGAAAAUAUGAUGUUGCUUCUUUUUGGGUCUUCAAUGAACUAUUCAAUAAAUCUUGAUACCCUUUUGUCAGAUUGUUGAAAUGUGAAUAACUUCACUGCUCCAAAAUUCUUUCAGUUUGCUUAUGUGCUGUAGAGGAGUUUAUGUUUUUGUUUGCUUCUUGCUAUCUGCCUUAACUAAUUAAUUCAAGAUUUCACUUUAAAAUGGCAUCUGGCUUGCCGCUCAAAAUACACUUCUUGCAACUUCCUAUUGAAAUGCCCAUAAGGAUGCUAAAAAAAAAAAAAAUUCAUAAUGAAAAAACUGACAAUCUUCCUAGUGUCAGAAUCUGAAAUGAAUUUAUAUUAUUUGCAUGUUUAAUGAGGCCAGAUUUUAAAACACAACCACAUCCCACCUUAACUAAGUGGGUAAGCCUUUCCACCUAGAAGCAAGAAGACCCUUCCCUCCUUUCUCACUCUUAGUUCAGCAAACCAUCCCAACUGCUCAUUGCAAGCAGCCAGAGGACAGGUCAAACUAUCCAUCUUCUUCACUCCCAAUUUUUCUAUAUACUUGUCCAGAGAUUAUAUCUCCUACAAACCACUGAUGGGCAGCAUUUAGGGAGUUGAUAUUGAGGACGGUGUGUUGUGCUUAGCGGGAGUAUAUUAUCUAAGUGAAGAGGAUUAGAUAGAGGCAAAGAAAAGAAGAGAUCACUGCAUUCUGAUGAUUCUUAGAGACCCCAUCUCUUAGCAUUUCUUAGAGCUGAGCACUAGGGGUAGGAGAAUGACUAUAUCAGAUCAUUAUUUCUGCAUUAUUUUAGACCCUGUUUAGAACUAAGAACUUUUGCAGGAGGUGCACAUCAUACUGAUGUCCAGUGAUCAAUCGGAAAUGGGUAUUUGACCAGCACAAAUGUAGGCAAGUAAGAAGCCUGAAAGCAGUCCCCUUGGUUAAUAAACACCACAUGUGGAAGCAUCUGUUCUCAUUCUAAGUAUGCAAAUGGGAAAGAAGUGGGAGGAGGGCAGGUUUUCUCUCCUGAAGAGAAAUGGUCAUCAUCUUGAGCAGGAAAAAGAAAAACAUUCUCCGGAAAAUGAUUUCUUACGAGAACAAGAAAGAAAUUAUAGAGAACUGGUAACUUUGUAGUAGAAACAUAGGGAUUCUAUGAAACAGAAGUAAAAGGUAUAAAAGGUGAACUUUUUUUACCCAAAUUAUAUUUUUAGUGACAACUCAUCUAUAUUAUUUUGAAUACAAACUUCCUUACAUUUCCUGUAUUUAUUUAAUAUUACAAUUAGUUUAUUUUAAUUCCGUAAGUCUGUGACUCCUUAGGGAAGCACCCUAAAGUAUUGUUUUUAUUUUUGCUGUUUUCAAAUAUGCUUUGCUGACUGUUUUUUCACUAUUUUGAAGUAACUGCACACUUACAGAAAGCUUACAAGAAUAGUACUAAGAAUUGCCAUGUACCUUUCACCCAAAUUGCCCAAUGUUAAUGUUUUUCCACAUUUGCUUUAUGAUUUCCUCUCUAUACAUAAACAUAUUUUUCCUGAAUCAUUUGUUUCCUGAAACUUUAUCCCUAAGUACUUCAGUGUGCUUUCCCUAAAACCAAAUAUACUUCUUAACUCCAAAAUAAUGAUCAAAAUAAGAGCAUUAACAUUGACUUAAUGCUACUUUUUAAUCUACAGGUCUUAUUUAGAUUUCUCUAAUUGUCCUAAUAAUAUCUUAAAUAACAGAAGAAAACCUGGUUCUCUUUUGCAGUUAUAUAUCAUGUCUUAUCUCUUUUCAUCUAGAACAGUUCCUUAGCUUUUCUUUGUCUUUCUCAUUCUUGCACUUGUGUUAAAUGGAAGCCAGUUAUUAUUUAGAGCAUCUCACAAUUUUGUUUUAUUUGAUAUUUCCUCAUGAGUAGACUUGGGUGUUCAUAUGUUUAGUAAGAAUACCCCAGGAAUUUUUUGGUUUUCUCAGUAUGUCAUUUUAGGAGGCAUAUAUGGUUACUUGUACCAUUACUAUUAAUGUUAAUUUUGAUCAUUUGGUUAAGGUGUUUCUUAUCAGAAUUCUAUAAAUGGAAAUUAUUAUUUUUCCUUUUGUAACUUUAACUUGGAUACAGAACUUUGAAGCUAUAGUAAAUAUGCCCUUCCUCCUUAUACAUUCAUCAGCUAUUUUUGGCAUUCAUUGAUGAUUCUUAUUUGAAUUUCUUACUUUGUUGGUUGCCAUAUGGAUAUCUUUUAAUUCUGUCUUUCCUUUUCCAUAUAUUACAUGUCUUUCUACUAGAACAAGAAGGCUAUUCUUUCUUUCCCAUUCAUGUUCAUUUAUGCUCAUAUAUACUGAUGGAUUAUAUAUUCAGUGGGUUUAGCUUGUGAAAAUUGUCCUAAAUUUGGCCAGUGGGAAUCUCUUCAAGCUGGAUCAUUUCUACUUUUAGAGAUUUCUUUUGUAGUACUGAGCUUCAAACCCAGGGUCUCACACAUGCUAGGCAGACACUCUACUACUGAGCUAUAUCUCUAGCCUCAUUUCUGCUUUUAAAAUGGCCCAUUAUUGUUUGAGCACUCAGAAGCUUAUCUCAUAUUUCCCCAGCCAUUUCUUUAAUGAGUCCUGGGUCUUUUCAGUGGAAAGUGGUAUUUAAAGCUCAUUAGAGUAAUAUAGCUUCUAUGCCUCCAACCAGCAGAACUAGAAGAUAGAUGUCUCUGUGUCUACAUAUCACAUGUAUCUAUAUCUCUCUUUAUCUCUAUAUAUCAACAACACAAGUGCAGCUAAGGCUUCAAUUUUUCAAUCCAUUACUACAGAAUUCAUUCUAGCCUUUCUGCUUUCCAUGGUUAUAACCAACUUCUCUGAAAGUGUGAAACCUGCCUACCAUUAUCCAUGAUAUAUGUAUCUAUUCAUAAUCUUUGUCUACAAUUUCAUCCUAUAAAAGUAUUUUGAUCAAAAAUAUUUUAUGGCACUCAUACAUGACGGUAGGAGAAACAUUUUUAAGGGCAAAUUCUUGUUUUUAAUUCAGAAUGAAAAUAUGAUUUUCGUUUUGAACUUCUUUGACCCUAAGCAUUAUAGUUUUGACCUCAGAUUCUUGUUUGGAAUGUUGUUUAUAAUCUACCAAUUCUAGUUUUUCCUUAUUUAUCUUUUUCACAAAGAACUGUAUGCUUUGGCUUGGAUGCAUAAUAAGGUUGGAUCACUUAACUAGCAAGCUUUUUUUUUAAAGAUGAACUAUUUGGGGUCACAAUAUAUAAAGACCAACCAAACUAGAUUCAUACCGAAGGAAAAUAUUACUACAUCAUGUAUCUGAAAAGUUCAGAUUUAAAUUUGACUUUGGGCAUAUUUGGUUCCAAGAAUUCAAAGAACCUCAUCAGGACCUAGUCACUUAGUUUCUUGCCUUUGUUUCCCUUUUCACAGCAAGGAGGCUGGGUAAAGUUUCAGAUUCAUAUCCUCACAGCUUCCAGUUCAGGGCAAAAGAAAACAACUCCUUAUCGGUUUAACAAAGAAACUGAAAAUAACUGAACUGAACUUGCUUAGCUGAGGUCAUAUGUUUAUUCAUAAAAAAGUUAUAGACAGGGAUAUAAUAUUUUUUCUGCUGUGUCUAGGUCACAUGCCUAUUCCCUAAGCCUGACUCAAACUGUGUAGAGAAAACUCUGGGGUUACCAAGGAAAAUUAAAGGAAUUUUUAGCAGAAGAGGAAGAGAGGACAGGCAAAAAAAAAAAUUUAAAAACUGUUCAGUACAAUUUUAUACGUAUCAACUCACUAGCUUUCCAGGAAAAAGAGAAAGGAAAAAAGUGAGGACCUAUUAUAGUAAUUAAAACAAAAGAAAAUAAAAAUAUAUUAUUUCAAAUAGGCGCUGCUUUAUACCAAUAGAAGCUCAUUAUUUGAAAAGAGCACUAAAAAUAUUUUUAACUUUUCCACCAGUUCUGAUGUCUUGAUGUUGCCCUCCCUAAUUUCUAGUUAACCAGUGCUAUAAGGUAAGCUAUCUGAAAAGUACUUUAUCUGUAAAGAAAGGUACUUAAAAUGUUACUGAUAAUUUUAAAAACAAACAAAAAGAAGCCCUCUAGUUAAUUCUCUGGCCCCUACCACUACACCACAAUCGUGGGUAUUAGGAUUCAGAAUAUUUUACAAAUUUGCAUUCUUAUCAGAACUCUUGAAUUAUCUAACUUAGGCAAUUUUCUGAGCCCUUAAUUUUCUCAUCUGUCAAAUAACGGAUUCUUAUUCUGUGAUUCUGACCUUCCAGUUCUGUGAUUUUGUCUGUCUUCUACAUAUUCAUUUUUAUCCUUUGUUUUUAUCUUAGUGGACAUUUUGUAUGAAGCAUAGGGUAGUACCAGAGGGAGGAUUUAGGGAUAAAGAGAAUGAGAAAGUUAAAAGUGUUUUUAAGUCUUUGAAUCCAGGCAAUAGUAAUAACACAACUGAGUUAGGAAUGUAGGAAAAAAGAUUUAGAGGGUAGAUAACAAGGUUUUGUUUUUGCUUUCUGGAAUUUUUUAAAAUGUUAUAUUUGAAGUAUUUAUAGAACUGCUUCUUUAGUUCUUCCAUCAUGUUUAAUAGGUAAUUCUAUAAUUAUACCUAACACAUUACAGUAUAUUUUAAAUCUGUAAUGCUGAACCUCAGCUGAGUCCUCACUGAUGCUUGAACUACUCUUCUUCCUUAGUCAGCUACUUCUGCUUUCCUCAAAGACUGGUACAGUAGUUUAUUAUUCUCUUUGGGUCCCCUGCAUUAUCUUGGCCCCUUCCCUGUCAAUUAAAAUUGUCUCAUAUUUUACAGAGGAAAGAAAAAAAUAAAGACCAUUAGACUCAAAUUUCUUCAGAUUCUAAGUUUCACCAGCAAUAUCAUUACACCUUUAGUCAUAUUUCUUUGUUCUUAUCUUGGAAAUAGAAAUGUUCUUUCUUUUCAAUACUCAUCCGUCUGUCUAUUCUCUUUAUUCUACCUCUUGUUACUUUUUUGCAUAUGCUGCCCAUUCCCUCCUCCAAAAGAAUUUUUCUUUGGCCUAUCCAUUUCCUUUGACUGGAAUUUUCUUGGAAUGUAAUACCAGUAAGCAAAAUCUUUACACAAGCUUAAACCUCUUGUCCUCUUCUCCUGUGGAAUUGGCAGGAGAUAGCUGAUAGAAAGGUCCUGUCAGCCCUUUUCAGUCCCAAACAACCAUCCAUUUCUCUCACACUGUGACUCCUUUGCCACUAUCUCCUGGAGGGUGGAUUCCUAGGGUUUCCCGUCUUUGAUCAUUGCACAGUAGUGCAGGGCCUGAAACCUCACAGGAGAUAAAUUAAGGCAUAUUGAAUUGACUUCCCAACCAACUUUUCAACCCAUUUCAAAUUCUGUGAAAGUCCCAUUCUGAAGGUUACUAUUUACCAACCAAACAAGAAAGCUUUCUUUUCUGUCUUCAUCAUACCUGAUCUCUGAAAUAUUUGAUUGCUUAGUUUUGUUUUAAAUGUCUAUUCAUUUUUCAUUUGUGAUUUUAAUGUUUCUUUAUUUUUCCAUAUUGUUAUUAAAGUAUUCUUUUAUUAUUUAUUUUUAGCUAUGUCUCAGAAAGCUAAAAGGCUUAAGCUUCACCCAGCAAUUUAGAUAUUUUCUAGUCAACCUGCACCUACUUGCUGCUUCUUAAAAGUCUAACUUGCUUGAUUUUUUAAAUAUUUUCUUCCAAUUUUUAUCACAUCACAUUUGCUGCCUUUUCUCAAUUG
This 6738-nucleotide long non-coding RNA is filed under the name Marmota monax (woodchuck). The record is from RNAcentral. Lineage: Eukaryota; Metazoa; Chordata; Mammalia; Rodentia; Sciuridae.